This is a long non-coding RNA of Hyla sarda, 1010 nucleotides long. RefSeq lists it as uncharacterized. Lineage: Eukaryota; Metazoa; Chordata; Amphibia; Anura; Hylidae. The transcript is spliced from 2 exons. The record is from RefSeq and is a predicted model, not a curated record.
CAUCCGGAAAGGAACAAAGUUUUCUCCGAGCAGCGGGACCCCCACGAUCAUACAUCUUAUCCUUUGGAUAGAGGCUAAAAUGCCUAGGGGCGGAGUACCCCUUUAAUACUUAAAAGCACAUGUUCUAGCUAAAGUAAGCUAAACUUCAUUACAUGACAGACAUAGGCAACUUUCAGAGCACUUUUUUUUUUCUUUUUUUAUAGCAUUAGUCAUAUGAUCACUAUUAAUCACAGAGUUUGCAGGGUUAAAUAGCCAUCAGUACUGAAGUAAGCUGCUGUGCCAAUACAAUCCCCAGGGUUGAGACAGUUGACAGCAUCCAAUAGAAAAAAAGUUACAUAUUUAUUAGUGUUCCCGAUAUGUCUUAGCAAUAUUUCGACCCUCACAAGGUUGCCUGGUCUGUGUGAACUAAAGAUAAGAAACUCAGACAAGAAGUCAGAAGCGUUUUAGUGUUUUAUUCUUCCUGUGAGAAGUCGUGUGAUGCCAGUUUUACUGCACUGACAUACUAGGCGGCAUAGACCCAGACACUAACAGAUUUUGGAAAAUGUAACUGUUUUCUAUUAAUACCAAAGUUUCCCCUAGUUGCUAAUCAUGCCUAGCAGUAUCUCCUCUUGUUAGAGGGCAUGUCCACGCUUUACACCUUUUACACUUUACGUGUAGAAUUUAUCUGCAUAAAUAGAGUUGCACUCUGUGUUAUACUCCAGAGCAGUGUUUUCCAACCAGGGUGCCUCCAGCUCAAGGAAAUCUCCAAGCAAACAAACAAUCUACAGAAUAGUGAAUGCUGCUCUGGAGUAUAGUACUGGCUGUAAUUCAGUAACAGCACAGGUAAAGUAAAGCAUCAAAUUAUUUCAAAUGUGCCUUAUCUUCUAAUGGAACACUGAUACUUCAGGUCUGUUUCAGUUUUUAGUGAUGGAUGCCAUCUCACCGUUAAACACAUAAAAGCAAUUUGUCUGAAUUUGUGCCAAGAAUGUCACAAUGGCACUGAAUUAGGCAGAAACAAGUGCUGAACUCAA